CAACUGUACGUAAUAAAAUAAAUAAGAUAAACAAAUAAUAAAAAAUAUAACAAAUAUAACAAAAUUGUAUAAAAAAUAAUUUUUUUGUAGUAUGAAAAGCUGCCCAGUACAAGCUGGACUGUAAAUGAAUUGAAGACUUGGUUGAAACAAAGAAAUAUUCCCCACGUUGACAGUUGCAACAAAGAGCAACUUUUAAACUUGUGUGGUUUAUUAAAAAAAAAUAUGGAAAAGAAGUAUAUAAUUGAUGAACAUGUUGCUCAAAAUACAGAGCAUAUGAUUUUAAGACUGCCACCAUAUCAUUGCAAAUAUAAUCCGAUUGAAAUGGCGUGGGAAAUUGCAAAAAGACACUUCGACAAACACAUUGGUAUUUUUCAUAAGUAUUCUGAUGAAAAUGUCAAAAAAGUGUGGGCAGAAGCAUUAAAUCAGGUGACACCAGAAGUAUGGAAAAAGAUUUGUGCCAAAGUAGACAGAAAAAUAGUCAGGCAUUAUAAUAAAUAUGUAUUAGGAUUAACCAAAGAUCAAAGAAAAAAUGGAGAGGGAAAAUAUGAAGAUCCUUCAACUUCAUCAUCUGAAGAAGAAGUGGCAUCAACAUGUGGUUCUGAUAGUAGUAGUGAAUCAGAAAUAGAUGAUGAAAAAAUCCAAAAAAAUUCUAUGGAAGACAUAAUGAAUGAAUUUGAAUUUAAGAAACUUGAUGAAAAUUCAGAAUACACAACACAGCCUCUUUUUGAAAAUGAAUCAGUGAACAUGGAAGUAGAUGUCUCAAUUGAUGAGCCUCCAUGUAUCCAUUUAAAUAAAAUAUAUCAGCCACUUGAACAAACUAUAGAUUCACCAGCUCAAAUAAAUUAUAAUGAUAAUGAAAUAUCAGCAGCAGAUUUAUCAACUUUAGAAUCAACAAACUGGCUGAAUGAUAAAAUUAUAAAUAAAUAUUUUCAAUUAAUCAUGGAAACAGAUUCAGAAUUAAUUUAUUCAAUGAAUUCUUUUUUUUAUAAAAAGCUGGAAAAUUCAAGUUAUGACGAAAUAAAAAGAUGGACUAAAAAGGUCAAUAUUUUUUCAAAAAAAUUUAUACUCAUACCUAUACACUUACGUGACCACUGAGCAGUUUGUAUUUUGAAUAUUGCUUGCAAAAUGAUCUUGUAUUACGACAGUCAAGGUCGUGAAAAUCAAGGAAUUUUAAAUACAAUCUAUCAAUUUGUGGGUAAUGAAUAUCAUGAGAGACAUAAGAAUUCCU
RNA transcript from Aphidius gifuensis, 1228 nucleotides. It is a transcript of the gene named sentrin-specific protease 5-like, with no coding region annotated. The transcript has 6 exons. The record is from RefSeq and is a predicted model, not a curated record. NCBI's taxonomy places the organism in Eukaryota, Metazoa, Arthropoda, Insecta, Hymenoptera, Braconidae.